UGGGGAAUCUUGCACAAUGGGCGAAAGCCUGAUGCAGCAACGCCGCGUGCGGGAAGACAGCCCUAGGGUUGUAAACCGCUUUCAGCAGGGAAGAAACUGACGGUACCUGCAGAAGAAGAUGCGGCCAACUACGUGCCAGCAGCCGCGGUGACACGUAGGCAUCAAGCGUUAUCCGGAUUUAUUGGGCGUAAAGAGCUCGUAGGCGGUUCGGUAAGUCGGGUGUGAAAUCCAAGGCUCAACCUUGGGACGCCACCCGAUACUGCUGUGACUCGAGUGCAGUAGGGGAGCAGGGAAUUCCUGGUGUAGCGGUGAAAUGCGCAGAUAUCAGGAGGAACACCAGUGGCGAAGGCGCUGCUCUGGGCUGUGAACUGACGCUGAGGAGCGAAAGCAUGGGUAGCAAACAGGAUUAGAUACCCUGGUAGUCCAUGCCGUAAACGUUGGGCACUAGGUGUGGGUCUCAACCAACGAGAUCCGCGCCGUCGCUAACGCAUUAAGUGCCCGCCUGGGAGUACGGUCGCAAGACUAAAACUC
RNAcentral lists this ribosomal RNA (531 nucleotides) under uncultured bacterium. Its description in RNAcentral is "bacterial SSU rRNA". It matches the Rfam family "Bacterial small subunit ribosomal RNA", at positions 355 to 902 of the family's 1533-position model. The record is from RNAcentral.